CGUAGGUGGCAAGCGUUGUCCGGAAUUACUGGGCGUAAAGGGUGCGUAGGCGGAUAUUUAAGUCAGAUGUGAAAUUCCGGGGCUUAACCUCGGAACUGCAUUUGAAACUGGGUAUCUAGAGUGCAGGAGAGGAAAGCGGAAUUCCUAGUGUAGCGGUGAAAUGCGUAGAUAUUAGGAAGAACACCAGUGGCGAAGGCGGCUUUCUGGACUGUAACUGACGCUGAGGCACGAAAGCGUGGGGAGCAAACAGGAUUAGAUACCCUGGUAGUCCACGCUGUAAACGAUGAGUGCUAGGUGUGGGGGGUUUCGACACCCUCCGUGCCGCAGUAAACGCAAUAAGCACUCCGCCUGGGGAGUACGGUCGCAAGACUA
RNAcentral lists this ribosomal RNA (372 nucleotides) under uncultured organism. Its description in RNAcentral is "bacterial SSU rRNA". It matches the Rfam family "Bacterial small subunit ribosomal RNA", at positions 526 to 896 of the family's 1533-position model. The record is from RNAcentral.